AGAUGUGGCAUAAGGGGACGACAAGCGGAUAAGAGGCAAUCCAUAAUUUCGAUUAAGACAAUCAGCGAGCUAGGACGGACAGUCAAUAUAACUUUGUUUAGCACAUUUGAAAUGUACCACGACAGAAUUCAGAACAUGGGCCGUUCUUACAGUGUUCUCCCUGUACACCAAGUCAGAACUGUAGGAUAAAUAAAGGGGGCAUAUAAGCAGAUAAUGAAAGCUCUUACAAUAUUUGAUGAUUACAUUUCUCUAAAACACAUUAUAGGCUAUAUGUGCACCACCAAGUCAGAACAGUAGGCAAAAUUAAGAGGGGUAAAUAGACCAUAUUAUUAGGGUGAGGCACAUGGGCUACUAACAUUAUACGACACAACAUAGUAUUACUUUCUUAGCUACAGUAUGCAUACUACAUAAUUUAUGCAGCAGCAUACAAUACAUGUUUGGACUCACCUUGUGCUGUGCUCACUUCAACAAAAAGGUGGCGUGGCAGUCCUUGGGAAAAUUUGGUCAUCAAAGUCUGGCAUUCUCUGGAUUUAUGGUGCUUUCAAAACAACUGGGAACUCUGGGGGGGAGGGAAAACAAGGUUGAAUCAUGAUGUCAUUGAUCUUGAGGUCGUAGCUCUAGAAAGAGGUCGGAUUUACAAUUCCAAGUUGGAUGACCGUUUCCAGUCGGAGCUCGUUUAUUCCCGAUUUACCAGUUGUCUGAAGUUUUCACCGUUCCGAGUUAAGUUGUUUUGAGCGUGGCACAUAACAUGCUUCAUUGACUGCAUGGCCAAUGUUCAAUGUUUAUCAUUUUAAACUGGGAAAAGAGAACCUUAAUCCCAGAUUUGGGACCACACAGCCACUCCACUGAAUAGUAGGCUAUUGAUUGUUUUGCAAUGCUUGCAGUUAGCCACUGUCGCUGAUUCCUUCCAAACCACUCAUUGUUGAAUUUGUGAUUUCCAACUUGUGUGAUGUUUAUAUCCAAUGGCCGAUGAGCACCGAUACAUUUUCAUUUCUCUUCAUAUGACAAGGGUUAAAAAGGGGGCUGGGGCCUCCCGAGUGGCGCAGCGGUCUAAGGCACUGCAUCGCUGUGCUAGCUGCGUUACUACAGAUCAUGGUUCGAUAUCAGGCUUUGUCGCAGCCAGCCGCAACAUGAGGUGUACAAUCGUCCGGGUUAGGGGGAGGGUUUGGCUGGCCGGGAUGUCCUUGUCCCAUCGCGCUCUAGCGACUCCUGUGGCGGGCUGGGCGCAAGCACGCUGACACAGUCGCCAAGUGUACUGUGUUUCCUCCGACACAUUGGUGCGGCUGGCUUCCGGGUUAAGCAUGCAUUGUGUCAAGAAGCAGUGCAGCUUGGCGGGGUUGUGUUUCGGAGGACGCACGGUUCUCGACAUUCGCCUCUCCAGAGUUCGUACAGGAGUUGCUGCGAUGGGACAAAGAUUAACUACCAAUUGGAUAUCACGAUAUUGGGGAGGAAAAAGGGGGUAAAAAAAAAAGAAAUAUGGAGUUGCCAGUAGAUUGUUGACUUGAUUCAUGAUGAUUGCUAGCAAAGAUUUUGAAAAUAUGAUAUGAUCAGUCCAAUCAAAGCUACUGUACAUAUAACGUGAUUUAACAUUUUAUCUGUGGCCAAUGACCUCGAGCCUUCUUGGAUGGGCACUUCUAAUGUACUCUAUGGCAGCACCCAAGGGUCUAGAAUUUUCUAGCUCUACCCUUAGACUUGAUGGUGACGUAGUGUCCCCAUGAGUGACAGAACACUGAGCCAAGCAUGGCGCAACGCUUGUCCUACCACCACAGAAAGCACUGAGCUAGGCUGAAACACCUGAAUUUUGGAGUAGCCUUACUCAAGAAAACAAAAGAAGAGACCAUGUUUUUAUGCGGCUUUAUUAACACGAUUUAUUUUUUUUACAUUGUUUGCAAACUGAUAUGUGACACGUAUUAAUGCCAAAAUAAUAUGCAAAAGAGGCUAACUCAAAAUAUAUAUAUAAUUUGUUGGGCUCGAAUGACGGGUCCCCACUGCGUUCUAUGUUCUCACGUUGGGUUUUCUAAAACGCUAAACGGAUGCUGCUCUCAUCUGUGAUGCAACAUCUCCAAUGUGUUGGCUACGUGGUUGAUCUCAAACACGUGUCAUUCAAUCAUUGGUUAAUUUGUGCGGUGUGCAGAAAAUGAAUACCUAAAGGUUCCACAGUUAUAGGUGCAGUAAUCUUGAUAAUAAUUUGGGAUGAACAAUCACAUUCGGAGGGAGGACUAAACCAUUUAACAGCCACAGCUCCAUGAGCGGUUCGCUUCUGCAGAGCAAAGGAAGUUGUGUAUGAAGUGUCGCAUACCCAGAGGCCCAUGGUGGACGGACAUCUAAUCAUCCCCUAGAAACGUUAUUUAGAAAAUCAGACAAAGAAAGGAAGGCCAAAUCAAAGGAAAGGACCAUUUCAAAAUGAUAAAGAACCAUGUUGAGCAAUGCAUGUUAUGUUGAUUGUAUUUAUUGUACAUGGCAUGUUUUCACAGGACUCCCGUGGAAUUGAAAAAGGUGACGCUUCAGAAAGCCAAGAACGGAAAUGGCAAGACUGAGAUCAAGUUUACAGACAAGUCCACAAUUUCUGUCAUCAAACAUUUACCCUAUAGUCAACGAGGAUCCCUGGCUGACCUUCAAGAAACCAAGGGAAAGAAGGUGAACGUUACUGUUCUUGUGAUCCGGAAGCUGAAUGAGAGCCAAGGUAAAACACGAGCUGGGCACAGACAUGCGAAAGGUGGAGUAUAGUGUUGCUGAUUUGAACGCACUUGCUGAGCUAACCGUGUGGAAACCGAAGAUGGUUGAAGAGGGGCAAUGGUACAGAAUCACCAACGUCUCUGCUGGUCAGUUUUGGGGCAGGAUCACACUGGGUACAACACCAUCCAGUGUAAUUUAGUGUGGCUAAUCAUAGAUGUGAGAAGUUUAAGGGGAAAAUCUGUGGAGCCAGUUUGUCCCAAAUGGGAAGGAAAACCAGUGGAAUGAUCUUCAUAGACAAGACAGACAAUAUUCUGAAGGUAGAUGACGCUGCCAUCAGGAGUGCUCUAAAUGGAAAAUGUAUUGAGAGUAUGUCUACAGCUGGAGACAGCGCUAAAUGAAGUACUGGUCGAAGUCACAGUGCUUGAUAAACUUGUAUCAAUUACCCCUCUACCAGUCUAAUCAAUUUUUGUUUUUCUCACCCAGUCACACACAAUAGCCCAUAAUGACCAAGUGAAAACAUGUUUUUAGAAAUGUUUGCAAAUGUAUUGAAAAUGAAAUGCAGAAACAUCUAAUAAGUGUUCACACCCCUGAGUUAAUACAUGUUAGAAUCACCUUUGGCAGUGAUUACAGCUGUGAGACUUUCUGAAUAUGUCUAAGAGCUUUCCACAUCUGGAUUGUACAAUAUUUCCGCAUUAUUCUUUUUUUAAAUUCUUCAAGCUCUUAAGUGUUGAUAUUUUCUAGUCUUGCCAUAGAUGUUCAAGCUGAUUUAAGUCAAAACUGUAACUUGGCCAUUCAGGAACAUUCAAUGAAAUCUUGGUAAGCAACUGGCCUUGUGUUUCAGGUUAUUGUCCUGCUGAAAGGUUCAUUUGUCUCCCAGUAUCUGUUGGAAAGCACACUGAACCAGGUUUUCCUCUAGAAUUUUCCUUGUGCUUAGCUCUAUUUCGUUUUAUUUUUAUCAAACUCCUCAGUCCUUGCCGAGGACAAGCAUACCCAUAACAUGAUGCAGCCAUUGACCAAACAUUUUGUAUUUAUGUUAUACAUUUUAUAUAAUAUAAAAAUCUGGACUUUAUUUUAUUUAUUUUAGUUGUAGCCUAGACUAACAAACUGAUUGUAUUUUACAGUUGAUAUAGGAAUACAUUUGUUUAUGUAUCAAUA
This is a non-coding RNA of Salmo salar (Atlantic salmon), 3831 nucleotides long. The record is from RefSeq and is a predicted model, not a curated record. Lineage: Eukaryota; Metazoa; Chordata; Actinopteri; Salmoniformes; Salmonidae.